GGUUCCUUUAUUUUCUUAUGGAAUAAGAAGAAUUCUUCCAUUCUCUUUUUAUUUUUGUUUUCUCCAAAGAAAAACUUUUCGAGGGAGCGGAAUUCCUAGUAAAAAAAAUAUUGGAUCCUUCCACUUAGAUGAAAAGGAAUUUUUCCCAUAGAGCCAUGGAAUCCCCGAGCCGUUGUGGCUGUACUGCAGGAAUACGAAAACUUGCUAUUCAC
This 212-nucleotide long non-coding RNA is filed under the name Panicum hallii. Its description in RNAcentral is "long non-coding RNA (PHAL_LNC000531)". The record is from RNAcentral. Lineage: Eukaryota; Viridiplantae; Streptophyta; Magnoliopsida; Poales; Poaceae.